Molecule: long non-coding RNA, 583 nt
Organism: Paramisgurnus dabryanus
Lineage: Eukaryota; Metazoa; Chordata; Actinopteri; Cypriniformes; Cobitidae
Source: RefSeq, a predicted model, not a curated record
CACACACCCACAUAAAAUAUAUAUAUAAAGAGAGAGAGAAAGAGAAAAGGGUUAUGUGAAAAGUUCUUAAAUUGCUGUGUUUAAUCGAACUUCAUCUUGUCUUGCAUAUCAUAUUGCUCGGUACAUCUCUGCACAACAUGUUCAAACUGUUUGUGUUGGCCACAGUAGUGCUCUACUGUAACGGCUGCUUCUCUCCCAAUUUAGACCUCACGGAUGACGGAUGUGUUGACGUGGAUGGAGCUAUCCACAACUAUGACACUUCCUGGGAGGAUGGAACUUACACCUGUGUAUGUUUCACCACAGGGCCCAAGUGUUGCCCAAGUGAAGGUGAUGUAUUCUGAGGAUGAAAAACGAUUCUGGAGGUUUCUGGACAGGAUUCUGAUUACAUGAGUUUCAAAAUAAAGUUAAAGUUAAAUAAAAGUAAUAUACAUGUUUGACCAUACAUUGUGUUUUUGUGAAAAUACAGUAAAAUAUCAAACAUAAUAUUAAACAUAUCCGUAAAUAUUUUGCUCUGAUAUUACAGAUUAUUAGAUUGAUUAUUUGUUCUUGCCACAAUCAGAGAAAAUAAAAUGUCAGCAAUGCA